RNAcentral lists this long non-coding RNA (253 nucleotides) under Homo sapiens (human). Its description in RNAcentral is "non-protein coding lnc-UBASH3B-1:3". The record is from RNAcentral. Lineage: Eukaryota; Metazoa; Chordata; Mammalia; Primates; Hominidae.
CCUUUUGUCCAUUUAUUUUCACUGAACCUUCAAAGGGUGAAGGGGAAGGUUUUCCUUGGCCCCUACAGUUUUUGGUACUGUGAGCAGGAUAAUCAGAACUAUCCUGCUGUUCUGAAAGCUGCAGUCAAGGUUACCCAGAACCUGACAAGCCAGCAGAAGGGCACAAAUUUCUUACCAGUGAGAUUCCUGGGUGUCUGUCUGUGAAAUCCAGUGAAGCAGAUGCAUAAAUAGCGGCUGUAACUGUCUAUGACAA